This 789-nucleotide ribosomal RNA is filed under the name uncultured Micrococcus sp. RNAcentral's name for it is "bacterial SSU rRNA". It matches the Rfam family "Bacterial small subunit ribosomal RNA", at positions 563 to 1349 of the family's 1533-position model. Lineage: Bacteria; Bacillati; Actinomycetota; Actinomycetes; Micrococcales; Micrococcaceae. The record is from RNAcentral.
AAGAGCUCGUAGGCGGUUUGUCGCGUCUGUCGUGAAAGUCCGGGGCUUAACCCCGGAUCUGCGGUGGGUACGGGCAGACUAGAGUGCAGUAGGGGAGACUGGAAUUCCUGGUGUAGCGGUGGAAUGCGCAGAUAUCAGGAGGAACACCGAUGGCGAAGGCAGGUCUCUGGGCUGUAACUGACGCUGAGGAGCGAAAGCAUGGGGAGCGAACAGGAUUAGAUACCCUGGUAGUCCAUGCCGUAAACGUUGGGCACUAGGUGUGGGGACCAUUCCACGGUUUCCGCGCCGCAGCUAACGCAUUAAGUGCCCCGCCUGGGGAGUACGGCCGCAAGGCUAAAACUCAAAGGAAUUGACGGGGGCCCGCACAAGCGGCGGAGCAUGCGGAUUAAUUCGAUGCAACGCGAAGAACCUUACCAAGGCUUGACAUGUUCUCGAUCGCCGUAGAGAUACGGUUUCCCCUUUGGGGCGGGAUCACAGGUGGUGCAUGGUUGUCGUCAGCUCGUGUCGUGAGAUGUUGGGUUAAGUCCCGCAACGAGCGCAACCCUCGUUCCAUGUUGCCAGCACGUAAUGGUGGGGACUCAUGGGAGACUGCCGGGGUCAACUCGGAGGAAGGUGGGGACGACGUCAAAUCAUCAUGCCCCUUAUGUCUUGGGCUUCACGCAUGCUACAAUGGCCGGUACAAUGGGUUGCGAUACUGUGAGGUGGAGCUAAUCCCAAAAAGCCGGUCUCAGUUCGGAUUGGGGUCUGCAACUCGACCCCAUGAAGUCGGAGUCGCUAGUAAUCGCAGAU